RNAcentral lists this ribosomal RNA (253 nucleotides) under uncultured bacterium. RNAcentral's name for it is "partial 16S ribosomal RNA". It matches the Rfam family "Bacterial small subunit ribosomal RNA", at positions 524 to 776 of the family's 1533-position model. The record is from RNAcentral.
UACAGAGGUCCCAAGCGUUGUUUGGAUUCACUGGGCGUAAAGGGUGCGUAGGCGGUCGGGUAAGUCUGAUGUGAAAUCUCACAGCUUAACUGUGAAACUGCAUUGGAUACUAUCCGGCUAGAGGAGUGGAGAGGAGCUUGGAAUUCUCGGUGUAGCAGUGAAAUGCGUAGAUUUCGAGAAGAACGCUCGCUGCGAAAGCGAAGCUCUGGCCAGAUUCUGACGCUGAGGCACGAAGGCUAGGGGAGCAAACGGG